This 3075-nucleotide long non-coding RNA is filed under the name Helianthus annuus (common sunflower). RNAcentral describes it as "hypothetical non coding rna". The record is from RNAcentral. Lineage: Eukaryota; Viridiplantae; Streptophyta; Magnoliopsida; Asterales; Asteraceae.
UUUCUUGUCACCACACAAACGUAGUGCCAGCGAUCACAAGUUGCACUGUAACCAUCCCAGUAAAUUCAAUUAAUUUCAUGGGCUCGGGCUUUGGCUCUGGAGGUUUCGGGAUAGGGGAUAUGAUCUCAACUUUACGACCGGUUUCAUCGAGUUGAAGGUGACGAUAAACACAAGGACAAUUGAAGGAUGAAAUACUAGCCAAAGGCAUGGUAUCUAUUAUGUAGAUUCUACAUUCAUUAGAGCAUCUGCAACACAAGGUACUUUAAUCCACGGGGGGAGAGAGGCCAAGUACUUUGUUAGUUUUCAAGGAAAUAGUCAUUGGCCACAAACCGUUCUUGGAGGAGUAAGAGUGUUUUGUGAGAGAGGGAUGAGAGAGAGGGCGAGGAUGUCUGUGUAGGUUUGUGGCUUUCGGUCUAUUGCAAAUGCUCUUAGGUGUUACGGGAGAUGGUUGAUGUUGAUGAAAUAAUUGUUUCAUUUAUGUCAUUAGUUGUGAGAAAAAUAUAAGGACCAUAUCACAACUCGACUAUAACAAAAGCAAGCUUAUACCUUUUGUAGGUAGGAAGGUACAUAAAAGAUCAUUUUAGAAGCUCUAAGUUUUAGAAGUUAAUCAUCAUCCAAGUGGGUUUACAUGUGGACGAAAUAAACAUGGAAAAGAGAAGAUAAGUUAAGGGGUAUUAUUUAAUAGUUAUUUAAAAGUUUAGAGUCAUCUAUUAAGAUUUUGUUUAUUUUAAUGUUAGUUAAUUAUUUGAGUCCUACUUGAAGCUUAGGUUUGGGAUUGUUUAAUCAUGUAAUCGUUUUAUGUGUGUGGGUAUUUUUUGGUAUUGAAUACAUAAGAAAAGAGUCGUGGAUAGGUUUUGCACAAUACAUCCAAGUAUCUGUUUACUGAUCAUCAAGAUUGUUGCGUGCCCACAAGGGCAUAAGAGUAAUUUUAACUCUAAGAACCUUAGAAGGGAAAAGAAUGAAUGAGCCAUCAUCAUUCUUGCAAAAAAAAAAAAAAAAAAAAAAAAACUUCACCAAGCUAGAUUAAGAAACUAAUGAGAGAAAAGGGGCGAUUUUAGGUGAACAGAUUCGAGUAAGGGCUCAAAGGAACAUUAGCGGUCCACAUUCAUAUCGUCUUGUACUCGGAGCUUACGAAAAAGAGUUUAGUUCACCAUAAAGUUUGCUUGCCUUGUAAGUUUUCUCUUAUAAGAUUAUUUAUAAAGAUAUUGAUGCAUUUCGGCCCAUAAAGUUGCAAUCUCAUGUUUAAACCAAGCGAUAAUGGUUAUGCCUGCCAUGGAUGAAAGUUUUAGGGUUUCUGCUCGAAGUUUCAUCCAACUGUUCUGGCGCUUAACUAAUUUUGGCAAAACUAUGUCACUAGCGAAAUUUUCCUUUCAGUGAACUUUCUUGGUAGCGAAACCUAUAUUAGGCGAAACCAACGUUUCACUGUAAUGCUUCAAAUGAAACCUAUUCAGAGGAGAAAACUAGUUUCAAUAAUGUGUUUAUUCGAACCCUAUUCUUCUUGCCUAAUUGUUUAGGAGAAACCUAUGUUUCACGUUAAUGUACUUUGUGUUAGGCAAUAGUUGACCCAUUUCUCUUAAAAACGUUUAAAAGGUCAACUAAGGGUUGCUACGGGUUAGAUUAGUUCGGUAAAUAGUGAAGUAUAGCAUUUGAUCAUGUGAUUUCUAGGCACCUUUUUCUUAAAUAAGUUUGAGCUUAUAUGCAUGCUUAGGAAAUGUGUUCAUUAAAAUGAUUGUGAAUUAACACUAGGCACAAGGUAAAUGGAAUAAUGAAUUGUUUAAAAUGUUCAUGUCUAUAAAACUGUUAAUGUCAUACGGAUGAUAACGUUUAAUGUUUUGAAUGGAAAUAAUGUUUUUAACAAAGAAUGUUAUUUCUUGAAAUGUGAACGGUAAAGAUUUAGGACAAACAAAAUUGUAAGGAAUAGUUUUGGGAACAACGUUAUGUAUAAGGGACAUGGAAAUGGUAAAGGUAAAGGAAAUGGAAGUCAUUCAAGUGUUGUAGGGAGGGACGGUAAAGUCCUAUAUUUGUUGUUGACAGGUACGGUAAAAUCCUGUACUGAUAAUAACAGGAAUGAUAAAAAGGUAACGAUUAUAAUUUAUGGUACGAGAUAGGGUUGUGAGGUUUUAAAAAGUCUAACAGUAAUGCAAAAGCUUUAGGAUUUUUUACAUUUAGUAAUAGAACUCACUUAUGUAUGUCAAGUUGAAUCAGGUAUAGGGCGGUGAUAUAAUGGCUAGCUCCUUAGCAGGGUCUUGAAGUUACUUGGCAUCUUAUGGACUGGUAUCCCUAGUUAUGUAGUUAUGUUUGAACUAUUGGUAUUGGAUUAUGUUUUAAUUUGUUUGGUUUUAUAUUGUUAAAUGUUUCCACUGCUUUAGCUUAGAAAAUUUUUACCUAAGAGCUAUGUAUGCUAUGAUUUUUUAGUUAUGAGGUCUCGUGGGUUUGGGGCCUUAUAAAAAAAGGAAAUGAAUAUUGAUCAAGUAUUAAAGAUUUCUGCUAGUAGCAUGUUGCUAUCGAAACAAUAACUUUGAUAACAUUAGAAGUUGGUCAAUCCAAGUAAGAAUAAGAACUCAAGUUGUUUCUUUUUUUCUUCAAUAACAAGAACAAAAAACAACAUAAGGAUGGUUCUUUUGGCAGAAUGAAACCAACAUAUAAUUUAGAAAAUAAACAGGUACCUGGGUUUUCUUAUGGCAAAAAUACAUUAUCAAUAGCUGACUAGUUUUCUUUUGCAUAAUCAUUAGCAAUAGGUUAAGCAUUAUGGUCAAUGAGAUGAUUAACCUUUUUGCGUAGGGUUUUGAAUAUUUAGAUCAAGGAGGAUAUUGGGUCUAUAACUAUGAAGUUUGACCAAGAAGAUGAUGGAACCUAUUUAAUGGCAGAGUUAAAGUCAGGUUGAAAACAAAUCAAGAAUCAUCACAAAAGAAAGGAAAGGAACGGUUGUUAGACUAGCUAGAGAGCAAGGUAGCAUAUAGUUGCAAUUUACAAAGUUAUGAAGAACCACUUACACUUUUUGUGCAAUAUUUUUUAGACGAUUACAAAGGAACAAAUCCUUUGGGAGGUGAUGGAUGAGAUAACAGGCUCAAUUGU